ACGAUCAAUCCCGGAAAGUCCCCUUCGGAAGGAUCAUAUACAGUUAGCCAGUUCCAUGUUCUUCUACGUGGUUGUCUCCCAUCCAACAAUGGAUGCCAGGGGCGAGGGUUUAGUCUCUCUUUUGUGGUGUACCGACACCCGUAUAAGUCGUUUAUUCCGGCAUAUAUGCUAGCACGGACGACUGUGUGGAUUUACCAUCACACGGAGAACUACCACGGGAAACACAAUCGAGAAUCAGUUGAGAUGCACGUCAGAGAAGAUAAAGAAAAACGAGGGAAGAUCAAAUUUUAUUCAAAAUUAGAAGUGUUAAGGGAGCCGAAAUGAUUGGAGGUAUCGAUAGAUGAAACGAAUACGUGAAAGCAGGAACGUAUGAAUGGCCAUUCCAAUGCGAUGUUACGCGUGUAUACUUUGCAAUGGUUCAUCGAUCGUGACGUAGCCGCUGGCGAAGUUUGUAACCUUUUGUGGCAAUACGGUAUCAGGCUGUACGCAAUUACGCAG
Molecule: long non-coding RNA, 498 nt
Organism: Hylaeus volcanicus
Lineage: Eukaryota; Metazoa; Arthropoda; Insecta; Hymenoptera; Colletidae
Exons: 3
Source: RefSeq, a predicted model, not a curated record